Molecule: ribosomal RNA, 491 nt
Filed under: uncultured bacterium
Lineage: Bacteria
Description: partial 16S ribosomal RNA
Rfam family: Bacterial small subunit ribosomal RNA
Source: RNAcentral
AGUGAACGCUGGCGGUAGGCCUAACACAUGCAAGUCGAACGGCAGCACAGUAAGAGCUUGCUCUUACGGGUGGCGAGUGGCGGACGGGUGAGGAAUACAUCGGAAUCUACUUUUUCGUGGGGGAUAACGUAGGGAAACUUACGCUAAUACCGCAUACGACCUACGGGUGAAAGCAGGGGAUCUUCGGACCUUGCGCGAUUGAAUGAGCCGAUGUCGGAUUAGCUAGUUGGCGGGGUAAAGGCCCACCAAGGCGACGAUCCAUAGCUGGUCUGAGAGGAUGAUCAGCCACACUGGAACUGAGACACGGUCCAGACUCCUACGGGAGGCAGCAGUGGGGAAUAUUGGACAAUGGGCGCAAGCCUGAUCCAGCCAUACCGGGUGGGUGAAGAAGGCCUUCGGGUGGUAAAGCCUUUUUGUUGGGAAAGAAAAGCAGCAGGUUAAUACCCCGCUGUUCGGACGGUACCCAAAGAAUAAGCACCGGCUAACUUCGU